Molecule: long non-coding RNA, 332 nt
Organism: Lepidothrix coronata (blue-crowned manakin)
Lineage: Eukaryota; Metazoa; Chordata; Aves; Passeriformes; Pipridae
Exons: 4
Source: RefSeq, a predicted model, not a curated record
AUCUCAGCCUGUUGCUCUGAGACAUGCUGUGUACACUGCAGAACACUUCAAGUCUUACAGAGCCCUUGAGUUUCUCAUAGAAUAUCCUGAUGAUCUUUUGGAAGGAGCAAGAGUUCACAAAUGAAACUAUGAUGAGAAGAUAAAAUAUUAUUUUUCAAAGGAUGCUGAGGAAUUCUGGGAAUGAGACUCCCACUCUUUGGUAUUUGGUGACCACUGGGAAUGAAGUUUGAGUACUGAAGACAACAUCUAUCAAAUUUAAGUCUCCUAUAUGAAGACAACUCUAGUCUAGCCACAUUUAUCCUUUUGGUUCAUGACUUAAAUAUGGUUUCAGG